Molecule: transfer RNA, 76 nt
Filed under: Candidatus Uhrbacteria bacterium RIFCSPHIGHO2_02_FULL_47_44
Lineage: Bacteria; Candidatus Uhriibacteriota
Also listed under: 4 other names
Description: tRNA-Thr
Rfam family: tRNA
About the family: Transfer RNA (tRNA) molecules are approximately 80 nucleotides in length. Their secondary structure includes four short double-helical elements and three loops (D, anti-codon, and T loops). Further hydrogen bonds mediate the characteristic L-shaped molecular structure. tRNAs have two regions of fundamental functional importance: the anti-codon, which is responsible for specific mRNA codon recognition, and the 3' end, to which the tRNAs corresponding amino acid is attached (by aminoacyl-tRNA synthetases). tRNAs cope with the degeneracy of the genetic code in two manners: having more than one tRNA (with a specific anti-codon) for a particular amino acid; and 'wobble' base-pairing, i.e. permitting non-standard base-pairing at the 3rd anti-codon position.
Source: RNAcentral
GCUGGUGUAGCUCAAUUGGCAGAGCAGCUGAUUUGUAAUCAGCAGGUUGCGGGUUCAACUCCCUUCGCCAGCUCCG